GAUACAACAACAACAACAACAACAACAACAAACCCAGUGUAUUCCCACCUAGUGGGGUCUGGGGGGGUAAGAUGUACGCAGUCCAUACCUCUACCUCUGAUGAAGUAGAAAGACUGUUUCCGAUAGACCCCCGGCUCAAGACACGAGAUACCACACAAACACAUAGUAAAGCACAGAAGCAGAUUACAUAUCAUAAAUACGACACCCAUAAGUAAUAUAAAACAGAG
This 227-nucleotide long non-coding RNA is filed under the name Capsicum annuum. RNAcentral's name for it is "long non-coding RNA (CANN_LNC004634)". Lineage: Eukaryota; Viridiplantae; Streptophyta; Magnoliopsida; Solanales; Solanaceae. The record is from RNAcentral.